GAUGAACGCUGGCGGCAUGCCUAACACAUGCAAGUCGAUCGGUAAGGCUCUUCGGAGUACACGAGAGGCGGACGGCUGAGUAACGCGUAGGAACACACCCUGCAGUGAGGGAUAAGACACCGAAAGGUGUUCUAAUACCGCAUACGGUCUUCGGAUUAAAGCAUUUAUGCGCUGAAGGAGUGGCCUGCGUCAUAUUAGAUAGUUGGUGAGGUAAUGGCUCACCAAGUCGAUGAUGUGUAGCUGGUCUGAGAGGAAGAUCAGCCAGACUGGAACUGAGACACGGUCCAGACCCCCACGGGAGGAAGCAGUGAGGAAUAUUUCAAAAGGGCCGAAAGCUUGAGGGAGCAAGGCGGGGGGAAGGAGGAAGGCCCUGGGGUUGUAAACUGCUUUUAAAAGAAAAGAUUAUGACGGAAAUUUAGGAAAAAGGAGCGGCUAACUACGU
Molecule: ribosomal RNA, 442 nt
Filed under: uncultured bacterium
Lineage: Bacteria
Description: partial 16S ribosomal RNA
Rfam family: Bacterial small subunit ribosomal RNA
Source: RNAcentral